UUGGAAUAUAGCGUGUAUAACAUCAGGGCUUCAAACUGUAAAACCAGGUACGUUUGAUUCUGUAGGUACAACUAAGUUGCAAGAUGCUGGCAAAGCUGGUUUGGUCACAAUUCAAGGCAAGAAUUCAACCGUGCUUGGAACUGCACACAUUUGUUAGUGAUUCAAUAGCCAUAAAAAACUUCCGUUGAAGUCCUUUUUCUCUUUUAAUCUAACCUCAUGAAAUGGCGCAGGCGCGUAUCUGUUUAUAACUUUGUUCCCAGAUCAAGCGGAGAAGCUGCUUCAGAUGAGUCUUGCAAGGUAGCCAUUGCAAAGUGAGUCCGGGUUAUACUUUACCCAACUAACAUCCGAGGCAGUCCAAAAUGAUUAUACCACCAAGAUGAUUCCUUACAAAAUUGCUUUAGUCAUCAAGCUGCCAAAUGAUUUUAUCGGCUCUCUAGGAGACCAGCUCGUGAAUAGAGAUGGUGUGUCUAAGAUCAUUAAGCAUCUCUUCCCAAUCGAAGAUUUCUUCUAAACACAAGCCUCCAAGAGUAAUGGUCAAAUCUCUCAUCUACUGGAUAAUCAUGGACUGCAAUGAACCAUAUCUUCUCUGUUGCAGACCCAUUUACCCGGUGGCCCACUACCCGUUACAAGCCCAAUUGCAAAAUAAACCCAAACCCAUCUAAAACCUAACCCAAAACCCGAGCCCAAUUCAUUGGCCCAAGUCAGACUAGGGUUUCAGUCCCUGAAACCCUAACCUAGGAGCCGCCUCUAGGGUCUUUGACCCUUGGCCUUCUGACGCCGCCACGGUCAUGUCGCCACCGCCGCGCCGCACGUCCCAUCACCCCACUUGCACCUGCUCCACCUGCAAAAGAAAGAAGAAAACGCAAGCAGCAAAGAGAAACAAGAAAAAAUAGGAAAUAGAUCAUGUAUGAGGGCUAUAAAAAGCCGAAACAGAGAUGUAAAGGGGACGGCCCCUGUUUUUCAAAAAAGUGAAUAUGAAAUAAAAGGUUGCCAUUUUAUUUUC
This is a long non-coding RNA of Gossypium raimondii (Peruvian cotton), 1003 nucleotides long. RefSeq lists it as uncharacterized. The record is from RefSeq and is a predicted model, not a curated record. Lineage: Eukaryota; Viridiplantae; Streptophyta; Magnoliopsida; Malvales; Malvaceae. The transcript is spliced from 2 exons.